RNAcentral lists this ribosomal RNA (354 nucleotides) under uncultured bacterium. RNAcentral's name for it is "bacterial SSU rRNA". It matches the Rfam family "Bacterial small subunit ribosomal RNA", at positions 8 to 350 of the family's 1533-position model. The record is from RNAcentral.
AGAGUUUGAUCCUGGCUCAGGAUGAACGCUAGCUACAGGCUUAACACAUGCAAGUCGAGGGGAAACGACAUCGAAAGCUUGCUUUUGAUGGGCGUCGACCGGCGCACGGGUGAGUAACGCGUAUCCAACCUGCCCACCACUUGGGGAUAACCUUGCGAAAGUAAGACUAAUACCCAAUGACGUCUCUAGAAGACAUCUGAAAGAGAUUAAAGAUUUAUCGGUGAUGGAUGGGGAUGCGUCUGAUUAGCUUGUUGGCGGGGUAACGGCCGCCAAAGCAACGAUCAGUAGGGGUUCUGAGAGGAAGGUCCCCCACAUUGGAACUGAGACACGGUCCAAACUCCUACGGGAAGGCCA